Molecule: ribosomal RNA, 433 nt
Filed under: uncultured bacterium
Lineage: Bacteria
Description: partial 16S ribosomal RNA
Rfam family: Bacterial small subunit ribosomal RNA
Source: RNAcentral
AACGAACGCUGGCGGCAUGCCUAACACAUGCAAGUCGAACGAAACCUUCGGGUUUGGUGGCGCACGGGUGCGUAACGCGGGGGAACCUGCCCUGAGGUCCGGUAUAACUCCCCGAAAGGGGUGCGAAUACCGGAGAAUGUCUUCGGACCAAAGAUUGAUCGCCUUUGGAUGGGCCCGCGUUGGAUUAGUUAGUUGGUAGGGUAAAAGCCUACCAAGGCGACGAUCCAUAGCUGGUCUGAGAGGAUGAUCAGCCACACUGGGACUGAGACACGGCCCAGACUCCUACGGGAGGCAGCAGUGGGUGAUAUUGGACAAUGGGCGAAAGCCUGAUCCACCAAUGCCGCGUGAGUGAUGAAGGCUUUAGGGUUGUAAAGCUCUUUUACCCGGUAUGAUAAUGACAGUACCGGCAGAAUAAGCACCGGCUAACUCCGUG